CAGAAAGCCAAAAAAAGGAGAGUAUGGAAUUAAAAACAAAUACAAUAAGCAUAUGCCUAUUGAGAUAUUUUGGGGGAAGCCUCCUGUACUUACGAUACUUUCAUCUACUACUUCAGUUUCAAGAGAGAGUCCAAUUUAUUGUGUCUGGUAUUCAAGGCAAGUCUGUUCUGAUCUAUCAACAAGAAGGUGGCAGUCUCCUUUCUUUCCAUCAUCUCACUUGUUAUUAAAACUAUACUUUUUAAAUAUCACCAUUUGCCCAGAAUUCCAUCAUCAUACAAAACUGGCACAAACGGUUUUGUGAAAUUAGAAGAAUAGAAUACAAUAGAAUGAGGAAUUCUAAUUUAUGCAUUCAAAGUAACACUUACUGCCAAGCCCAUCAGCAUAUUUUCACCCACUGUAAUCUGAAUCCUCAGACCAAACAGAGCAUUCAUUCCUUUCAAUUUAAGUUUAUUCAUUAGCUGGGUGUGCACUUCAUAUUCCAUAAAUGGCAACAGAUUACUGAUGGAUGUUGCAUUUGCUUCAGCUUGAGCUUUCUUUUUCAGGCGACAUAACCUGUUGAUGGAAAUUGUCACAUACGUAGAAUUAGACCGUCUUAAGCAUGUAAGCACUUUUAAUUUUUAACCACUGAUAAACUGUAUAAGUGAUCAAAAGGAAAUGUGCAGGCUUUUUAUAUUUGACAAACCAUUCAAAAUUAUUUUCUGGAAUUUAAUUCUUU
Molecule: long non-coding RNA, 715 nt
Organism: Dermochelys coriacea (leatherback sea turtle)
Lineage: Eukaryota; Metazoa; Chordata; Testudines; Dermochelyidae
Exons: 2
Source: RefSeq, a predicted model, not a curated record